RNAcentral lists this ribosomal RNA (292 nucleotides) under uncultured bacterium. RNAcentral's name for it is "partial 16S ribosomal RNA". It matches the Rfam family "Bacterial small subunit ribosomal RNA", at positions 505 to 796 of the family's 1533-position model. The record is from RNAcentral.
GUGCCAGCAGCCGCGGUAAUACGUAGGGCGCAAGCGUUAUCCGGAAUUAUUGGGCGUAAAGAGCUCGUAGGCGGUUUGUCGCGUCUGCUGUGAAAGGCCAGGGCUCAACCCUGGUUCUGCAGUGGGUACGGGCAGACUUGAGUGAUGUAGGGGAGACUGGAAUUCCUGGUGUAGCGGUGAAAUGCGCAGAUAUCAGGAGGAACACCGAUGGCGAAGGCAGGUCUCUGGGCAUUAACUGACGCUGAGGAGCGAAAGCAUGGGGAGCGAACAGGAUUAGAAACCCUGGUAGUCC